Molecule: transfer RNA, 65 nt
Filed under: Dipodomys ordii (Ord's kangaroo rat)
Lineage: Eukaryota; Metazoa; Chordata; Mammalia; Rodentia; Heteromyidae
Rfam family: tRNA
About the family: Transfer RNA (tRNA) molecules are approximately 80 nucleotides in length. Their secondary structure includes four short double-helical elements and three loops (D, anti-codon, and T loops).
Source: Rfam by way of RNAcentral
GGUGGCUCAGUGGUAGAGUUCUUGCCCUGAAUGCAUGAGGCCCUGGGUUCAAUUCCUCAGCACCA